AUCUGGUCUCUGUAUUGGUCAUGGAGGUGGACAUAGAUGCCAGAAACCUGGGUGCAAUAAGGGUGCUGAGAGUCGUACUGCUUACUGUAAAGCUCAUGGUGGAGGGAGGAGGUGCCAACAUUUAGGGUGCACCAAAAGUGCCGAGGGGAAGACAGAAUUUUGCAUAGCUCAUGGUGGUGGUAGACGUUGUGGAUAUUCAGGUGGAUGUGCCAAGGCUGCGCGCGGCAAGUCGGGCCUUUGUAUUAGACAUGGUGGGGGAAAAAGAUGUAAGAUGG
Molecule: unclassified non-coding RNA, 275 nt
Filed under: Hevea brasiliensis (rubber tree)
Lineage: Eukaryota; Viridiplantae; Streptophyta; Magnoliopsida; Malpighiales; Euphorbiaceae
Source: RNAcentral